UGCUGCUUUGGAUAGUGAGGUGUCAGU
This 27-nucleotide non-coding RNA is filed under the name Mus musculus (house mouse). The record is from RNAcentral. Lineage: Eukaryota; Metazoa; Chordata; Mammalia; Rodentia; Muridae.